CCUACGGGUGGCAGCAGUGGGGAAUAUUGCACAAUGGGGGAAACCCUGAUGCAGCGACGCCGCGUGAGUGAAGAAGUAAUUCGUUAUGUAAAGCUCUAUCAGCAGGGAAGAAAAUGACGGUACCUGAGUAAGAAGCCCCGGCUAACUACGUGCCAGCAGCCGCGGUAAUACGUAGGGGGCAAGCGUUAUCCGGAUUUACUGGGUGUAAAGGGAGCGUAGACGGCAGUGCAAGUCUGGUGUUAAAGGCGGAAGCUCAACUUCCGUAGGGCACUGGAUACUGGCGAGCUUGAAUGCGGUAGAGGUAAAGGGAAUUCCUGGUGUAGCGGUGAAAUGCGUAGAUAUCAGGAGGAACAUCGGUGGCGUAAGCGCUUUACUGGGCCGUAAUUGACACUGAGGAACGAAAGCCGGGGUAGCAAAUGGGAUUAGAUACCCGAGUAGUC
RNAcentral lists this ribosomal RNA (440 nucleotides) under uncultured bacterium. RNAcentral describes it as "partial 16S ribosomal RNA". It matches the Rfam family "Bacterial small subunit ribosomal RNA", at positions 338 to 795 of the family's 1533-position model. The record is from RNAcentral.